GCUUGCUCUCGGGUGACGAGUGGCGGACGGGUGAGUAAUGUCUGGGAAACUGCCCGAUGGAGGGGGAUAACUACUGGAAACGGUAGCUAAUACCGCAUAACGUCUUCGGACCAAAGUGGGGGACCUUCGGGCCUCACACCAUCGGAUGUGCCCAGAUGGGAUUAGCUAGUAGGUGGGGUAACGGCUCACCUAGGCGACGAUCCCUAGCUGGUCUGAGAGGAUGACCAGCCACACUGGAACUGAGACACGGUCCAGACUCCUACGGGAGGCAGCAGUGGGGAAUAUUGCACAAUGGGCGCAAGCCUGAUGCAGCCAUGCCGCGUGUAUGAAGAAGGCCUUCGGGUUGUAAAGUACUUUCAGUGGGGAGGAAGGCGAUGAAGUUAAUAACUUCGUCGAUUGACGUUACCCGCAGAAGAAGCACCGGCUAACUCCGUGCCAGCAGCCGCGGUAAUACGGAGGGUGCAAGCGUUAAUCGGAAUUACUCAGGUGCGUAAAGCGCACGCAGGCGGUAUGUCAAAUCAGGAUGUAGAAAUCCCCGGUAGCUCAACGCCGGAAACUGCAUGUCGAAACUUGGCAGGCUAGAGCCCUGUAGAGGCGGGUAGAAUUCCAGGAGCUAACGCGUGAAAUGCGUACAGAUCUGGAGGAAUACCGGCCGCGAAGGCGAAAACCUGGACAAAUGAAUUGACGCUCAGGUGCCCGCACAAGCGGUGGAGCAUGUGGUUUAAUUCGAUGCAACGCGAAGAACCUUACCUGGCCUUGACAUCCACGGAAUUUGGCAGAGAUGCCUUAGUGCCUUCGGGAACCGUGAGACAGGUGCUGCAUGGCUGUCGUCAGCUCGUGUUGUGAAAUGUUGGGUUAAGUCCCGCAACGAGCGCAACCCUUAUCCUUUGUUGCCAGCACGUAAUGGUGGGAACUCAAAGGAGACUGCCGGUGAUAAACCGGAGGAAGGUGGGGAUGACGUCAAGUCAUCAUGGCCCUUACGGCCAGGGCUACACACGUGCUACAAUGGCGCAUACAAAGAGAAGCGACCUCGCGAGAGCAAGCGGACCUCAUAAAGUGCGUCGUAGUCCGGAUCGGAGUCUGCAACUCGACUCCGUGAAGUCGGAAUCGCUAGUAAUCGUAGAUCAGAAUGCUACGGUGAAUACGUUCCCGGGCCUUGUACACACCGCCCGUCACACCAUGGGAGUGGGUUGC
RNAcentral lists this ribosomal RNA (1194 nucleotides) under Erwinia persicina. Its description in RNAcentral is "bacterial SSU rRNA". It matches the Rfam family "Bacterial small subunit ribosomal RNA", at positions 74 to 1418 of the family's 1533-position model. Lineage: Bacteria; Pseudomonadati; Pseudomonadota; Gammaproteobacteria; Enterobacterales; Erwiniaceae. The record is from RNAcentral.